CGCCCUCCUUGUCAAGCAGUGUCCACGGAUAAGGGCGUCCCGGGGCGGCUGUCUCCUUGGUCUUCCUGCUGCACCGGGUUCUUUGAAAAUCAGCUCCUGACUGCAUGUUGCGGAUUCCAGGCCCAGCCCCCUUACCUGGAAGGCUCACCUUGAAAGACGGCAGGAUGAGACCAGGAAACGGGGCCACAGGCAUACCAAGGAAGCUUAUUUUGCCUGGCUUCCCUUUUUAAGCACGGAUGCAUACCGGUGUGUUGGACAUGACUGAUGAACCAAGAUUUGAGGAAGGCCACCCACUGAGUGACUGGAGGUAGACGUGGAAGGCUUUGGUUGCCAUAGGCAACUUGGGGCCAGAAAGACCUGGAUUCAAAUUCUGGCACUUAUCAAAGGGAUAAAGUGGGACAAACAAUUUUACCUUGCUGGGCCUCAGUCUCCUCAUCUGUAAAAUACGGAUAAUCCCCCCUUGGUAGAUUGGGAUGAGGAUUAAAGAUAAUGCAUGCAAAAUAUUUGGCACGUAGCAGGUGCUACCAAAUGCUUAUUGUUGUUGUUAUUACGGAGUUCAGAGCCCUUUGAGAUGCUCCACAAGUGUUUGCUGAUUUGAGGGUGGCACAAAAGGCAGUUUUCCCCAACACCAAUUGAAAGACUCCUUGGAGUGUGAAUUUCAAGAUGGUGGGGUACAGCAAUUUCUACCCUCUCGUCGAAAGUCUCAUCUCUGCUGGGAGACUGUGUGACCCAGAACCACAGUAUAGGAAGAUGG
RNAcentral lists this long non-coding RNA (754 nucleotides) under Homo sapiens (human). Its description in RNAcentral is "HSALNT0141172". Lineage: Eukaryota; Metazoa; Chordata; Mammalia; Primates; Hominidae. The record is from RNAcentral.